CGUGUCGAGGAGCGCUGCAGCGGGUUUAUGCCCCGUCAGGCUCGGCACGGCGCAACAACCGUAGUAACGGCGCUCAUCCGAC
This 82-nucleotide non-coding RNA is filed under the name Thioalkalivibrio sulfidiphilus HL-EbGr7. RNAcentral's name for it is "Thioalkalivibrio sulfidophilus HL-EbGr7 SAH (S-adenosyl-L-homocysteine) riboswitch aptamer". It matches the Rfam family "SAH (S-adenosyl-L-homocysteine) riboswitch aptamer". The record is from Rfam by way of RNAcentral. Lineage: Bacteria; Pseudomonadati; Pseudomonadota; Gammaproteobacteria; Chromatiales; Ectothiorhodospiraceae. RNAcentral also lists the same sequence under 1 other name.